Molecule: ribosomal RNA, 481 nt
Filed under: uncultured bacterium
Lineage: Bacteria
Description: bacterial SSU rRNA
Rfam family: Bacterial small subunit ribosomal RNA
Source: RNAcentral
GAUGAACGCUGGCGGCGUGCAUAACACAUUCAAGUCGAACGGAGCUGUUCCUUCGGGGAUAGCUUAGUGGCGGACGGGUGAGUAACGCGUGAGUAACCUGCCCUGCAUUGGGGGAUAACGACCGGAAACAGUCGCUAAUACCGCAUGAUGUAUGAGGGUCGCAUGACUUUGAUACCAAAGAUUUAUUGAUGCAGGAUGGACUCGCGUCCGAUUAGGCAGUUGGCGGGGCAACGGCCCACCAAACCGACGAUCGGUAGCCGAACUGAGAGGAAGGUCCCCCACAUUGGAACUGAGACACGGUCCAAACUCCUACGGGAGGCAGCAGUGAGGAAUAUUGGUCAAUGGGCGCAAGCCUGAACCAGCCAAGUAGCGUGAGGGAAGACUGCCCUACGGGUUGUAAACCUCUUUUGUUUGGGAAUAAAGUGCGGGACGUGUCCCCGCAUUGCAUGUACCAUUUGAAUAAGGACCGGCUAAUUCCGUG